CAACAUAAUCAUGCAUAAAAUAGGUCUAUACAACACCAAGCCUACUAAUGUUUCAGAUUUAUGCUAGUACUUCUAUACUUGAUACCAAUUUUGGAGUAUCAAAAGUAGGGUAACUCAACUUCCUCUAUACCUCUAUGUUCCACUUCCUCCUACGUAAGGCACAUAUUUCAAAUUGCAUAAACGUAAAGACAGUACUCAAAAUGUAAAUAAAUAAAUAAAUUACAAACAGCGAUAGACCAAAACUCCCCGAAGUUUUAGACCUCUGGUUAAACUAGUAUUACGAGCAAAUUACAUCGAAUUACGUGUGCGCGCGUGUGUGAAAGAGCUUAGGACUGGCAAGCGUAGGUAGGGUAGUAAUGUGGUGAGUCCAAACGAAUUGAGAGCAAAAAAUCGUCGACGCCAUGGAAGACCCUCUCAGAAUGUGACGAAAAGCAGAGAUAUACGCCAUUUCCAUUAUGAUUUUCUUAACGAUAUUAAACAAAAAUGGAUGAUAUACAUUACAAAAUAGAAAUAUGAAAGUUUGCCCCCCAGUGCACAUCCCAACUGGCAAAGAUGAGGGUGCUUCAAGGUUAGCAGAUCAGAGGUCGUGAGUUCGAUUCCUGAAAGGCUCCUGGAAAGCAGGAUUUAUCCUAAAAAGCAGGAGCUCUAUUGGAAGGCAAGGUGCAAAGAUGGGAAACGACUUGCUUGGCACUUUGACAGAUCAGUUGGAAGGUUUUUGAGCACUGGUCAAUUUGGGGCACAACCUGCGGUUUAACCUGUCUGCAGCUUGAGGGGCCAAAGUGUAGACUCCAGGAUUUAAUCACUAUAAGGUGGAUACUUGAAUAUAAAAAAAAGAAAAAAAGAAAUAUGAAAGUCUGAUAUAGGUUUUAUGGUUUGCAGAGAGAGGAAUGCAAAACCCCUGAUUUUGGGUGG
RNAcentral lists this long non-coding RNA (912 nucleotides) under Olea europaea (common olive). Its description in RNAcentral is "long non-coding RNA (OEUR_LNC014307)". Lineage: Eukaryota; Viridiplantae; Streptophyta; Magnoliopsida; Lamiales; Oleaceae. The record is from RNAcentral.